UUGAAAAGUUGAAGGUAGUCAUUUGUUUAAAACUUGGGUCUGUGCAAAUGUAGCAGUUUUUGAGCACAAUGAAUGGUCAAACGAAGGAUUUUAGCUCAAAAACCCAUGUGGAAAAUGUACUUCGUUUUUAGUUGAGCAUUGUGAAAUAUGAUAUCUAACAAACAUAUAAUAUUCUUUUAUAUUAUGUUGUUUAUUUCAUCUUUUGAGCGGUCUCUAUAUGAUCAUGUUUUCAACCGUUGAGCACUCGGUGGAUGUUCUCUAUCGUAAUGCAAUUCAAAGAAAAAUGGAUACCGAAGUGGGAUAGGGUUUAGCCAGGCAGAUGCAUUCAGCUAUUUCGAGUUCAAAAGAGGCGGCCUCCAUCAGCAAACAAAGACUUGAAAGGAAUGAUGAAGACUAUUAAGAUUCGAGACAUUGAGGUUAAAUAUUGGUUGCCAUUAUGGCAAGCUUUUUAAUGGGC
Long non-coding RNA from Erigeron canadensis, 457 nucleotides. RefSeq lists it as uncharacterized. NCBI's taxonomy places the organism in Eukaryota, Viridiplantae, Streptophyta, Magnoliopsida, Asterales, Asteraceae. The transcript has 3 exons. The record is from RefSeq and is a predicted model, not a curated record.